CUCGCUUCCGAGAGUGGCGGGCGAUUUGUGCAUGAAGUGUUUCCUUUUCAAAUCUUAAUAGCUAAUUAAAAUUUUAGUUCUAAAUCCUAUUCAAAGCCUCUCUUACUUUUAUCUAGAGAUUCAAAAUACAUUGAUUCAUUGUGUUGCGUUGUGACUUACUUAUAACUCUCAUCUUGAUCUGUUUUGUUACAUCUAAAGUUUAUUAAAAAAAAUCUUAUUUUCUGUUAAAAACGAUGAUAUAAGGAGUAAUAAACAAAGUUCAUUUUAUCGUGGUUUAUCUAUUAUCCUUCAAAACUCUCUAGGAGGACACUUCACCGCCAUUUUGUACAGGAUUUUUCUUAAUUUAGAUAAUCUCUUAUGUUUUAGUAAAA
RNAcentral lists this ribosomal RNA (371 nucleotides) under Paraphytoptus lithocarpis. Its description in RNAcentral is "partial small subunit ribosomal RNA". The record is from RNAcentral. Lineage: Eukaryota; Metazoa; Arthropoda; Arachnida; Trombidiformes; Eriophyidae.